RNAcentral lists this ribosomal RNA (2208 nucleotides) under Triticum aestivum (bread wheat). RNAcentral's name for it is "partial small subunit ribosomal RNA". The record is from RNAcentral. Lineage: Eukaryota; Viridiplantae; Streptophyta; Magnoliopsida; Poales; Poaceae.
AUGGAGGGCCCAACCAAUGAGGUAGUCAGUUGGCUGAAAGACGAGGAGAAGAAGCUGAAGGUUGUAUCAAUUGUUGGUUUUGGAGGUUUGGGUAAAACAACACUCGCAAAUGAGGUAUACCAUAAGCUGAAGGGGGAAUUUCAUUGUGGUGCAUUUGUGCCAGUGUCUCAAAAGCCAAAUAUUCCAAAACUUCUGCAUAGUUUGUUAACCCAACUUGGGUGUGGACAAUCUUUUCAUGACUUUGAGUUAAAUGUUCUUCUCGACCAACUCAGAGAAAAUCUAAAAAACAAGAGGUUCUUCAUUGUCAUCGAUGAUCUAUGGGAUGUAGCAGCAUGGAGUAUUAUUAAAUGUGCUUUCCCAGAAAAGAAUCUUGGUAGUAGAUUAGUAGUAACUACAAGAAUCAAGACUGUGGCUGAGUCAUGUUGUUUCGGUCACCACGAGCACAUUCUUGAAAUGAAACCUCUUAGUGAAGAAGACGCAAGGAAAUUGUUUUUUGAUAGAAUAUUUUGCUCUGGAGAAGCUUGUCCAGGUCAACUCAAAGAUGUUUCAGUUGAGAUUCUCAAGAAAUAUGGUGGUUUGCCACUUGCAAUCAUCAGCAUAUCCAGCCUAUUAGCAAGUGGAGGUUCCGACCAAAAGGAGAGGUGGAAACAUGUACUGAAUUCUUUGGGGUCAGUGUCGGGCACAAAUCUCACCUUGGAAGCAAUGAGACAGAUCUUGAACCUUAGCUAUAAAAAUCUUCCUCACCACCUCAAGACAUGCUUCUUGUAUCUUGGUAUGUUUCCAGAGGACUAUGAAAUACGGAGGUAUGACUUGGUAAGUCUAUGGAUAUCCGAAGGUUUUAUUAGUAAAUCACAUGAACAAAGCCUAGAACAGACUGGGAUAAGCUAUUUCAAUGAGCUUGUCAACAGGAGCCUUAUUCAACCUGUACAGAUUGGCAGGGAUGGGUCAGUGUUAACUUGCAAAGUACAUGAUAUGUUGUUGGAUCUUAUCUUGUACAAGUCCGCAGAGGAGAAUUUUAUCACUGUAGUAGACAACCCAGAGGCCAUUAGAGGACUUCUUCAAAAGCCCCGUCGGAUGCUCUUCAACUUGGAUGGUGCAACACUGCCAGGGCAUGUUAGUAUGUCAAAAGUGCGAUCGUUUGUAAUGUGGAUAGGCUCUAUGACUAUGAGUAUACCUUCUCUAGCAGAGUUCAAGUAUCUUCGAGUGUUUGUUGCUGACUUCAGUUCUAGUUCUUCUUAUGACAACCGGAAAAUCGACCUGACAGGAUUGUGUAAGUUAUAUCAGCUGCGGCAUAUAUGGAUUCGUGUCUGUAGCUGUAGGAAGUGCCAGCUACCAACCAAAAUUAGAGCGCUACAGAUGUUAGAAACAUUUGAUAUAGAUGGGUCUUAUAUCCCAAUGGAUAUUUUUCUCCUGCCGCACUUGUUGAAUCUGCAUGUUCCAUUCGUUGAAAGACUCCCGGAGGGCAUUGGCAAAAUGACAACCCUACAACGUCUGACUAAGUUUGACACACUUCACAAUUCACUUGACAGUAUGAAGGGCCUAGGAGAGCUCACCAAUCUGAUCACUCUAUCUCUCGUAACCGGUUUCUCUGAAGAUGUGGACAUGGAUGUUCUAAGCUCUUCUUUGGGAAAACUCUGUAACCUCGAGUUUCUGCUCAUAUUAUCACCUAGGAUACCUGAGGCACUAACCUUGUCGCCUCCUCCCCCCAACCUUGUGACACUCGACAUGAAUAGAAGCUCCCACGUCCCUAACUGGAUUGGGGAACUCCAUAACCUCCAGACCUUGGAUCUCGUUGUUGAGAAGCUGGACAGGGAUGGUGUUGGUAUUCUUGCGGGGUUACCAGCCCUCAUCGACCUGAAUUUAACGUUUGAUAGUGCCCUGGAAGAAACGAUUGCCAUUGAUGGGACAACAUUCGUAAUUCUAAAGCGGUUUGAAGUCAGCUCAAAUAGCAUGCCACACCUGACCUUCCAAGCUGGGGCAAUGCCUAAGCUCCAGACCCUCUCUCUGUGGUUGAACGGCAUGGGGUGGAAGCAGAACGAGAAGGCCGCACUUACAGGUAUCGAGCACUUGGUAGCACUUGAUAGAAUCACUGUACGGAUCACCACUGGUACUGAACCUGAACAAAAAAGCGUAGAGUCAGCCAUCAGGAGCGCUAUCAACAUGCAUCGCAGCCAUGCUCAAAUUACAGUCGAUAUCAAAUGUUACUGA